RNAcentral lists this ribosomal RNA (402 nucleotides) under bacterium. RNAcentral's name for it is "partial 16S ribosomal RNA". It matches the Rfam family "Bacterial small subunit ribosomal RNA", at positions 355 to 776 of the family's 1533-position model. The record is from RNAcentral.
UGGGGAAUUUUGCACAAUAGGGGAAACCCUGAUGCAGCGACGCCGCGUGAUUUAGAAGGCCUUCGGGUUGUAAAAAUCUUUUUUACGGGAUGAAAAUGACAGUACCGUAAGAAUAAGGUCCGGCUAAAUACGUGCCAGCAGCCGCGGUAAUACGUAUGGACCGAGCGUUGUCCGGAAUCAUUGGGCGUAAAGGGUACGUAGGCGGCCUAGUAAGUUAGAAGUGAAAUAAUAUAUCUCAACUAUAUAAAGCUUUUAAAACUGCUAGGCUUGAGAGAUGGAAGGGAAAGUGGAAUUCCUAGUGUAGCGGUGAAAUGCGCAGAUAUUAGGAAGAAUACCGGUGGCGAAGGCGACUUUCUGGUCAUCAUCUGACGCUGAGGUACGAAAGCGUGGGUAGCAAACAGG